GUGCCAGCAGCCGCGGUAAUACGGAGGGUGCAAGCGUUAAUCGGAAUUACUGGGCGUAAAGCGCACGCAGGCGGUCUGUCAAGUCGGAUGUGAAAUCCCCGGGCUCAACCUGGGAACUGCAUUCGAAACUGGCAGGCUAGAGUCUUGUAGAGGGGGUAGAAUUCCAGGUGUAGCGGUGAAAUGCGUAGAGAUCUGAGGAAUACCGGUGCGAAGCGGCCCCUGGACAAAGACUGACGCUCAGGUGCGAAAGCGUGGGGAGCAAACAGGAUUAGAU
This 274-nucleotide ribosomal RNA is filed under the name uncultured Salmonella sp. Its description in RNAcentral is "partial 16S ribosomal RNA". It matches the Rfam family "Bacterial small subunit ribosomal RNA", at positions 505 to 783 of the family's 1533-position model. The record is from RNAcentral. Lineage: Bacteria; Pseudomonadati; Pseudomonadota; Gammaproteobacteria; Enterobacterales; Enterobacteriaceae.